UAGGGAAUUUUCGUCAAUGGGCGCAAGCCUGAACGAGCGAUGCCGCGUGAGUGAAGAAGGCCUUCGGGUCGUAAAGCUCUGUUGCGGGGGAAAAAAGGCAGCAUCAGGAAAUGGGUGCUGACUGAUGGUGCCCCGCCAGAAAGUCACGGCUAACUACGUGCCAGCAGCCGNGGUAAUCUCUAGCU
RNAcentral lists this ribosomal RNA (185 nucleotides) under uncultured bacterium. RNAcentral's name for it is "partial 16S ribosomal RNA". It matches the Rfam family "Bacterial small subunit ribosomal RNA", at positions 355 to 532 of the family's 1533-position model. The record is from RNAcentral.